Long non-coding RNA from Strigops habroptila (Kakapo), 1768 nucleotides. RefSeq lists it as uncharacterized. The record is from RefSeq and is a predicted model, not a curated record. Lineage: Eukaryota; Metazoa; Chordata; Aves; Psittaciformes; Psittacidae. The transcript is spliced from 2 exons.
UACCCCUUGGAGAACCUGUGGCUCCCUGGCCAUGCUCAGCAUUGCUCCAUGAGUAGCUGGAUGGUGCUGAUGUCCUGGCUGCAUUGCACUCAGACCCAUAACUCAGCACCUCAGACAGGCAAGACCUCACCCUUUACUGGGAUGUCCCUUUAAGAAAAUACUUCUUUCACUUUUGGUUCCAGGGUUCACUUUAGUCCGCUUUCAGUCCUCCCUGUCUUGCAAUGGACAUGCAGAUCUUCCACUUCAGGAAAUGGACAAAUUGGAUAUUUUGGUACCAGAAUCGCUGUUUUGAAAUUCGUGGCACGUGGCUUAACUAUUACUGGGACAAAGAUGACAUCGGUAAGGUUAUCCGUGGCAGCACCAAUCUCAGCAGUGCCAAAGCACAGAGAAUCAACUCGAAGACCCUAUAUUUGUCUAACGAUAAGGUGACAUACUACCUUAAGUCAGACAGUAUAAAGGAAAUGGACGACUUCAUCAGUAGACUUAUGGAGUUAAAGGUCACUGUGACUGACAUAUAGAGGAGCAGAUUCUUGUGCUGAGCAGUGUAUUAAGUAAUUUGUUCAUUGAGAAAAUGAGGAUUUAAUUCCAAAGGCUGUUUUCACUCAUAACCACUGAUUCCUCAAAGCAUAGAAAUGUCCAAAUAUUUGAAAUGAUCUCUUAUUGCAUAGCUGAAAUACAAAAUUUACCCAUCACCUGCUGCUUACCUGCAAGAUAGAAAUGGACGGACAUCAAGUGUGUUGAGAAAUGUAGGACGUGAAACGCAGGAAAAGUAGUAGAAGUCUUCAGCUUAGAAAAUAUAACAUUCUUUGCAACUGCUGAUGCAAACAUUACCUUUGGAGAAGCUCCAUUUAGUAAUUACUGAUAAAUGGGAAUGAAUAUUGGCUUUAGCUCACACGAGGCAUAGACAAAAUGCAAACUAGUUACCUUUGGAUUCUGAAUGUUUUGUAAUGUCAUUUUCCACCUGCUUUUCUUAACUGACCAAGCUUUUCACAAUUUAAUUUUACAGAUUUACAUGUUUACAGAUUUAAUUCUAUGGAUUUAAUUUUUCAAACUUUAACACACGGAAAUGUCCACAGAAGAUAGCUUUUUCUAGACUCUGAUGUCGAAAGGCUCUUAAACUGGUUUCUCAUUAUUACAGCAUUGCUUUGUAUUCACUGAGGCUUGCCCAGUCCUUGUUUUGCUUUUUUAAAGGAUAACAAAGAUGAGGAUGUGUAAUGGAUGGGAACCUGGCUGAGAAUUGGUUCCCUCUCAUGACUGAGACACAUAACACAGUAUGUUUUUGUCACAGUGUAUUCGGUGGAGUAUGUAUGUGUAUGUUCAUCAUGCCUGUUUAUGGGAAAGAGGCAGGAAAACAGAGGUGUGCAGCUGUCCUAUGACCUUCCUGUGUGGCUGCACCAGGGCGCCUGGCCAAUGCUCUUGGUGUGGACAACAGUGAGAUCAUGAGAAACUGCACGUCCACACGAGCAAACAAUGACAGAGCUGGCAUAAAGCCCAUUGUGUUUCUAAGGGUAUAAAAGCAGGACCUUCUUGUAGCCAAAUCUGAUCCUGAGACUCCCAGUAUUAGCUGCAACAGGGGUUCCCAGCUGGAAGUGUGGGCCUGGAUGAUGAUUCGGUGGUGAUUGGUGAUGUAUUUCUUCUUAUUCUCUGUUCUAUCUAUGCAGUAAUGAUGUGAUGCAUUGAUAAUUUUCCUCUGCACUUAUAUAUACAUAUGUAUCUCUGAUUUGCUUUAUUGUACUUAUUUACUAUAUACAUAGAGAUAUAUACACAA